ACAAUGGGCGCAAGCCUGAUGCAGCCAUGCCGCGUGUAUGAAGAAGGCCUUCGGGUUGUAAAGUACUUUCAGCAGUGAGGAAGGUGGGUAUGUUAAUAGCAUAUUCAUUUGACGUUAGCUGCAGAAGAAGCACCGGCUAACUCCGUGCCAGCAGCCGCGGUAAUACGGAGGGUGCGAGCGUUAAUCGGAAUUACUGGGCGUAAAGCGCAUGCAGGUGGUUUGUUAAGUCAGAUGUGAAAGCCCGGGGCUCAACCUCGGAAUUGCAUUUGAAACUGGCAAACUAGAGUACUGUAGAGGGGGUAGAAUUUCAGGUGUAGCGGUGAAAAUGCGUAGAGAUCUGAAGGAAUACCGGUGGCGAAGGCGGCCCCCUGGACAGAUACUGACACUCAGAUGCGAAAGCGUCGGGGAAGCCAAACAGGAUUACGUAUACCCUCGGUCG
Molecule: ribosomal RNA, 439 nt
Filed under: uncultured bacterium
Lineage: Bacteria
Description: bacterial SSU rRNA
Rfam family: Bacterial small subunit ribosomal RNA
Source: RNAcentral